RNAcentral lists this ribosomal RNA (849 nucleotides) under uncultured bacterium. RNAcentral's name for it is "bacterial SSU rRNA". It matches the Rfam family "Bacterial small subunit ribosomal RNA", at positions 8 to 858 of the family's 1533-position model. The record is from RNAcentral.
AGAGUUUGAUCCUGGCUCAGGAUGAACGCUGGCGGCGUGCCUAACACAUGCAAGUCGAGCGAAGCACUUUGCUUAGAUUCUUCGGAUGAAGAGGAUUGUGACUGAGCGGCGGACGGGUGAGUAACGCGUGGGUAACCUGCCUCGUACAGGGGGAUAACAGUUAGAAAUGACUGCUAAUACCGCAUAAGACCACAGCACCGCAUGGUGCAGGGGUAAAAACUCCGGUGGUAUGAGAUGGACCCGCGUCUGAUUAGCUAGUUGGUAAGGUAACGGCUUACCAAGGCGACGAUCAGUAGCCGACCUGAGAGGGUGACCGGCCACAUUGGGACUGAGACACGGCCCAAACUCCUACGGGAGGCAGCAGUGGGGAAUAUUGCACAAUGGGGGAAACCCUGAUGCAGCGACGCCGCGUGAGCGAAGAAGUAUUUCGGUAUGUAAAGCUCUAUCAGCAGGGAAGAAAAUGACGGUACCUGACUAAGAAGCACCGGCUAAAUACGUGCCAGCAGCCGCGGUAAUACGUAUGGUGCAAGCGUUAUCCGGAUUUACUGGGUGUAAAGGGAGCGUAGACGGAUGGGCAAGUCUGAUGUGAAAACCCGGGGCUCAACCCCGGGACUGCAUUGGAAACUGUUCAUCUAGAGUGCUGGAGAGGUAAGUGGAAUUCCUAGUGUAGCGGUGAAAUGCGUAGAUAUUAGGAGGAACACCAGUGGCGAAGGCGGCUUACUGGACAGUAACUGACGUUGAGGCUCGAAAGCGUGGGGAGCAAACAGGAUUAGAUACCCUGGUAGUCCACGCCGUAAACGAUGACUACUAGGUGUCGGGUGGGAAACCAUUCGGUGCCGCCACAAACGC